This is a long non-coding RNA of Amborella trichopoda, 2413 nucleotides long. RefSeq lists it as uncharacterized. The record is from RefSeq and is a predicted model, not a curated record. NCBI's taxonomy places the organism in Eukaryota, Viridiplantae, Streptophyta, Magnoliopsida, Amborellales, Amborellaceae.
AGAGAAACUCAUUUUUAGUUUUAGGCUUGGAGACAGAGCAGAGAAACCACGAGAGAAAAGGGGAAAGUGUAGGGAAGAGGAGAGAAAGUGCAUAGCCCUAAAGAAGAGACAGAGAGAGAGAAACCCAUUUACGCCAGAUCUUCUCAGCCAUGGGAUGGAUUCUAGAGAGAGAUAGGCUAAACCCAUCUCUCAAGAAGAGAGAGAAACACAGGAAAGGAUGCUCCGACCAUCUCUCUACUCCCAUUCUCUCUCUAACUUUUUCUCUAUUCUAUUCUAAGUUCUUUCUUAAUGAUUCUUGCCACAGGGUCUAUUCCUCUAAAAAAUUCAUCCACUUCUGUUUUUUUUGCUUGGACUCUGAUUUAUAGGUUUUAUCUUUUCUUCAUUGGAUCAAAGGAUUUCUUUCACGAUUGUUUGCAUUUUAAUAGCAGUAUUGUGAUUGAUUCAUUGGAAAAGAUUAAUGGCUAAUAUGCUUGACUCCUACCAUGAGCUUCUAUGAGAUGAUCCAUAAACUUCAGUGAGAGAGCUUAGGAUAGAGACAUGCUUAGGUUGCUAUUAACGGAUUGAUGCAUGGAUUGUCUUUCUAGCAAAUUGACUUGCAUGUAGCAAUCCAUCCAUCCAAUCGAUGAUAUUAAAAAAUUUUCAUGUCAAUAUAUCAAAAACAUGGCACCUUUGAUAUUUAUGUGCUCAAUUUGAAGUUGUCUAGUAUGAACUACUUGAUGUGAUGUACCAGUCAUUUAAUUUUCCCUUUAAUUGUUUAGGAGAUAUGAUCUUUCAAGAUAAUGAUUUUUUUCAAUUCAGAUUCAUUUCUCUCUAUCUACUAUGUUUGUGCAUUUUCACCUGUUGUUUGUUUUUACCGAUAUUUUCCUUUUAUUCUUUUUCAAACUGUCUCAGCAUCCUUAAUUAUGGGGAAUAUGAAAGGGGAAUUCGGAAUUUCAAUUUAAUGGUCCUGCUGCGUAGAAUUGUUCAUCUAAGCUUGAGUCAGUGCUUAAGGGUGGAGGCAUUUAGGUCUGAUCUUUGGAAACUUAGGAAUAAUUUUGGUAGACUAUAUUCAACAAACUUUGCUACGGUUCUUUGUGGGCACCCUAAUCAUUCUUGAACUUAGAAAGCAAUUUUGGAAUAGGUUUAUAAUUUCUUUCUCAUAUAUAUAUUUUUUCUUUCCAUAACAAUUAUAAAUUAAAUUCAACAGAUAUAAACAAGAUUGCAACCAUUCUUAAAAAUACCUUUUUUCAGAAAAAAAGUUGUAAAAACAUCUUCCUCACAAGAUAAUAAACUUAGCCUCUCAUUUUUUAAUUUUAAGAACAUUGUGAAUAGAAUGUUCGAGAUGGUGAUUGUGAAUUAUUAUGCUGCAAAAUUUUUCUCCUAUAAUUUAAUUUUUGUUUGUGUAUUGAGAUUUUGAUCAAUGUGUAAAUAACUAUGUAUUGUCUUUCACUUAAGAAUUUGUAUAAGGGACAAUACCCUGAUCUCCUAUAUUUGAAUAGAGUUACGACAUAUUCUUAUCAUCUAACUAAUUUAGUUGUUGUUUCAUAAUUCAUAUUUUUAUUAUAUUAUGAAAAAAAUUUAUUUUAAUGUUUUUACAUUGUCUACAAUGAGUACUUAUUAUGCUAGUGAAUUUCAUUUCAUAAAAAAAAGGUUUCGUAUCAAUGAAUCCACUCAAGCUUUGUCAAAAUGGAAGCUUGAUCGGCGACAGGUAGACCUGAUCAGAAAGACUGGUUUGGGCUCAUUGAUGGACAUAGGGUCUUUAAAGUCAAUUGCAGGUUGUUGAAGGCCUUCAUAAAAACAUCGUGUUCACAAACAAAUACUCCCGCCUAAACGUUGACGAGAUGGCAACUUUAUAUGACGUAUGACGUAUGACAGAGAUGGGUCAAUGCAACGUUAUUGAAGCUGUCAAUAACCCCACCUGCUCCCGGUCGUGGCAACACACCUAUAUAAGGAUGUUAGAAGCCGCACUUAAAAAAGAAGAGGAUUCCAGGCAUUAUGUAGUCGUGGCCCAUAAAUUGUUAGUAAAGAACACACUAGAUGCAUGAGAUGCUAGUGAAAGCGAAGAUGAUAGUGAGGAGGAUGGUGAGGAGGAUAGUGAAAGUGAAGAAGAUGGUGAGGAGAAAAAUGGAGAAAAGGAGAGUAAAGCUGAGGAGGACGAUGAAAGGAGAAUAAAGUCCAGAGAAGACCAGUAUCAUGAUCCUGCUAUGCAUGAGGAACCCAGAUGGGAACUCCGACCAAGGGUGAAGGGGAAGGGUGUACUUAAAUAGGGGUCUCCUACAUUGUUGUAAUUUUAAAGUCUUGUAGUUUGAUAUGUACAUACUCAGUUUUGCAGUCACAUUUUCAUGUAGUGCCUUGCCCUCAAAAUCUAUAUAUUAUUAACAUCUAUUUAAGAUAGUAAUCUUUCUUAAAUGAAUUCUAUUUAUCACAUUUUGUC